AAGACUUUGGAUGAAAAGGCAGAACGUUUGUCUCCUCAUCUUAUAAAAGAAUCUUCUCUCUUUUGAAUCAGUGAGAGGAUUUUAAUCACUGAAGAUCUUCAAAACAGCCAAGUCCUGCCUGGACCACUGCUCAACUAACUAACCAGUAAUUCAUCAGCUGAGUGAACCAUGAAGAUCACGGUAGCUGCCCUGCUGCUGCUCUCUGCUCUUGGACUCUCUCAAGCGCUGAGCUUCCGUCAGAAACACGUCAUCCGUCGAUUGGAUACUAAUGAGUGUGAUAAUAGAAUGGUACGGAUCAAUAAUGACUGUCAAAAGUGCAAGCCUGUAAAUACCUUUAUCCUUGAAGAAAAUAAUAAUAUAGCAAACGUCUGCCGGUGCAUAAGAUGGGGCGUUGGUUAUCUUCAAAACCCUCAUGGUUUUGUUUAUAGAUAUAGUGGAGGAACCUUCCCCAACUGUCAAUACACCCACAAUUCUCCAUUUCCAGACAGCCUUAAAGUAAAAUGUGAAAAUGGUGUGCCUGUGCACUUGUUUGGUCGAAAGCAAGAAUGUUAAGAUGAACAUUGAUCACAUGUUUGAUUUUCGGUCUGUUUAAGUUUGGUAAACAAUGCAGAAAAUAAUCAAGCACAGCUGAAAUGCAUCACUUUCUCACAUUUAUGGAUCUUUUUUUUACCACUUUCCAUUGUCUCCAUGAUUUUGCUGUUUCAACCUGAUCUGUGUUUUAUUUUAUGUACGGAUCUAAUGUUAGAGUUUCUUUCUUUUUUUUUGUCUCAUCUGAUUUCUUCUUAAAAAUCCAUUAUUUGUUGUUUUGUGUUGAUUAUAAAAGUGUCAAUGACAAGUUUGGGGACAAACAACAAUUUAAAAAGAAGUUAAUCAACAUUGUUCAUUCAUUUAGUUAUAUACAUUAAAGGUAUUGUGACAUAAUUUUUAACAUGCUUUUAACACUAUUAAAAGUCUUGGCCAAUAUCCCUCAAAUGUGUCUAAAAGGGUGUAACAAGAAAAACUUCACUGCAGUACUCCAUGCCUGGCUUUAUUAUGACGGUGUUUUUUGCGCAGUGAAAAACGCGUCCUUUUCCCCCUUUCCUGUCAAUCAUUGCCCCCAUCAUAACUUGAUGGAUCAGACCUAGAAACAUGUAGGGUCUCAGAAAGAAGCAUUGAGCCUCCCCGUCCAAGAGGCGACACCAAUGGCUGCUUAUCAAACUGUCUUUGCACGCGAGGACCAAUCAGAGCAACAACAAGGUGACGUAUUCAGAGUGUGUUGUGUGGAGGAGUACAUUAAAAGUUUUCCGUAGCCUUGGGCCGCUCGGUGGUGCAGUGGGUUAAGCAGCAGCUCAUAUACUGAGGCUACAGGCCUCCUGCAGCGGUCGCAGGUUCAAAUCCCGGCCUGUGCACCUUUGCUGCGUGUCAUCCCCGAUCUCUCUCUCUACCCCUUUCAUAUCUGCAGCUUGAAUAAAGGGCCACUAGAGCCCAAAAAAAUCUUAAAAAAAAAAAAAAAAAAGUUUUCCGUAGCCUGUCUGCAAAA
Molecule: long non-coding RNA, 1519 nt
Organism: Cololabis saira (Pacific saury)
Lineage: Eukaryota; Metazoa; Chordata; Actinopteri; Beloniformes; Belonidae
Exons: 3
Source: RefSeq, a predicted model, not a curated record